UAUAUCAUCCUCUUCAUACAUUAAAUUAGUAUGAGCUUUUCAGACGACGAAAAUGAAACCUAUAAACAAU
RNAcentral lists this transfer RNA (70 nucleotides) under Debaryomyces hansenii. Lineage: Eukaryota; Fungi; Ascomycota; Pichiomycetes; Serinales; Debaryomycetaceae. The record is from RNAcentral.